UGCCAGCAGCCGCGGUAAUGCGGAGGGUGCGAGCGUUAAUCGGAAUUACUGGGCGUAAAGCGCGCGUAGGCGGCAAGGUCAGUCGGAUGUGAAAGCCCCGGGCUUAACUUGGGAAUUGCAUUCGAAACUGCCUAGCUAGAGUAUGGGAGAGGGAAGCGGAAUUUCCGGUGUAGCGGUGAAAUGCGUAGAUAUCGGAAGGAACACCAGUGGCGAAGGCGGCUUCCUGGCCCAAUACUGACGCUCAGGUGCGAAAGCGUGGGUAGCGAACAGGAUUAGAUA
RNAcentral lists this ribosomal RNA (279 nucleotides) under uncultured bacterium. RNAcentral describes it as "partial 16S ribosomal RNA". It matches the Rfam family "Bacterial small subunit ribosomal RNA", at positions 506 to 784 of the family's 1533-position model. The record is from RNAcentral.